This 555-nucleotide ribosomal RNA is filed under the name uncultured bacterium. Its description in RNAcentral is "bacterial SSU rRNA". It matches the Rfam family "Archaeal small subunit ribosomal RNA", at positions 728 to 1281 of the family's 1478-position model. The record is from RNAcentral.
AAUAGAUACCCCGGUAGUCCUAGCCGUAAACGAUACUCGCUAGGUGUCGGCCACGGUGCGACCGUUGUCGGUGCCGUAGGGAAGCCGUGAAGCGAGCCACCUGGGAAGUACGGCCGCAAGGCUGAAACUUAAAGGAAUUGGCGGGGGAGCACCACAACGGGUGGAGCUUGCGGUUUAAUUGGAUUCAACGCCGGAAAUCUUACCGGGACCGACAGCAAUAUGAAGGCCAGGCUGAAGACUUUGCCGGAUUAGCUGAGAGGUGGUGCAUGGCCGUCGUCAGUUCGUACUGUGAAGCAUCCUGUUAAGUCAGGCAACGAGCGAGACCCACGCCCACAGUUGCCAGCGUACUCUCUGGAGUGACGGGUACACUGUGGGGACCGCCGCUGCUAAAGCGGAGGAAGGAAUGGGCAACGGUAGGUCAGUAUGCCCCGAAUAUCCCGGGGCUACACGCGAGCUACAAUGGUUGGUACAAUGGGUAUCUACCCCGAAAGGGGACGGGAAUCUCCUAAAACCAAUCUUAGUUCGGGUUGAGGGCUGCAACUCGCCCUCAUGAAG